AGAGUAAGUUGUUUGAUCGCGUGCUUUAUAAGCAUGAGGAAAGUCCGUGCUCCAUAGAGCAAGAUGCUGGAUAACGUCCAGUGGGGGCAACCCUAAGGAUAGUGCAACAGAGAGAUACCGCCUAUCUAUUAUAUAGAUAGGUAAGGGUGGAAAGGUGAGGUAAGAGCUCACCAGCGUUUAGGUGACUAAGCGGCUAUGUAAACCCCAUCUGGAGCAAGACCAAAAAGGAUAACAAAGGGUAGUGGCUCGUUACCUUUCCAAUGGUAGGUCGCAUGAACUUAUUGGCAACAAUAAGUCUAGAUAGAUGAUCAAAUAAACAGAACACGGCUUAUAGAUUUACUCUUAAA
This 347-nucleotide RNase P RNA is filed under the name Tissierella creatinophila DSM 6911. RNAcentral describes it as "Bacterial RNase P class A". It matches the Rfam family "Bacterial RNase P class A". Rfam says of the family: Ribonuclease P (RNase P) is a ubiquitous endoribonuclease, found in archaea, bacteria and eukarya as well as chloroplasts and mitochondria. Its best characterised activity is the generation of mature 5'-ends of tRNAs by cleaving the 5'-leader elements of precursor-tRNAs. Lineage: Bacteria; Bacillati; Bacillota; Tissierellia; Tissierellales; Tissierellaceae. The record is from Rfam by way of RNAcentral.